RNAcentral lists this ribosomal RNA (118 nucleotides) under Prolemur simus (greater bamboo lemur). The record is from RNAcentral. Lineage: Eukaryota; Metazoa; Chordata; Mammalia; Primates; Lemuridae.
GUCUAUAGCCAUACCCCCCUCCACAUGCCCGAUCUCAUCUGAUCUCUAGAAGACAAGCAGGUUCAGGCCUGGUUAGUACUUGGAUGGGAGACCUUCCCUCCAACCAAUGAUAUAUUUC